Scylla paramamosain (green mud crab) is the source of this 2923-nucleotide long non-coding RNA. RefSeq lists it as uncharacterized. The transcript has 5 exons. The record is from RefSeq and is a predicted model, not a curated record. NCBI's taxonomy places the organism in Eukaryota, Metazoa, Arthropoda, Malacostraca, Decapoda, Portunidae.
CCAAGCUGUUUACAUAAUUUAAAGAGUCUACCUGAUUUCAUCCAUGACAAUUAAACAUUUGAUAAUAACGAGAGGCUUCAAGUCACACAAGCUUUUCAAUGACUUCACACAAGAUCAUACAAUAGAUGAAGAAUCGUAGUGUAAACACCGCCGGGACCACUUCAAAUUUGGCGCUUGAAUUGGAGAGAGAGAUGUGGACAUUUUGACAAUUACAAUUACAAUGGCUUAUAACUUAGUUUUACAUGUUCAUGCUUCAUUAUAUUUCACUUGUUUUAUUUUGUAUUAGAAUAGUGUAAUAUGAGAGAAGCUGGAUUAAUUGGAAAUAUAAUUUGUAGGUUUGUGGGUAACGAGUCCACGCUGACAUAGGAGAGUGAGCGGACGUCAGACACACAGAGGGGUGGUGUUUGAAGGGCGUGCGUGUGCAGCUGCCUUAUUUAACCCGGAUUUUCUCUCAAGACGGUGACACGUGCCAGUGGAAGCUUAAUGGCUGCCGGAAGGUGGUCGUGAGGGCCAGAAACACUUAUAAUAUUGACAAAUGACCCACCUGCUGCUUGGCCAGCUGGCGGACUGGUCACAGACGCCAUGGUGCAAUAGGAGACUACCCCAUCCCCUGCCUCCCACCCUGCUCCACCCAGACACCAUGGCCCGGCAGCGACGCCAUUCCACUUGCUACAUGACGCUGGCUGACGCACUCCUGACGUGGCAGCGACAGGAGGCGGAGGGCAGGAGCAAGAGUCAGAUGGUGAAGGAAGGCGUGACGGAAGAGGUGGUGGCUGUGGAGGGUGUUCGUACUGGGUACCUCGGCAAGGUCUAGUGUGCAGGUUGGCAGUAAACCUCCCUGAAGGUUCCAGAGCUGCUCAGCAAGUGUCCAGUCCAGGCUGUCACAAGACUGUGUGACAGUGGACCUUCCACUCAUACUGAAAACAGCUGUGCACUGCCACUCACAGGAAAUGAUUGAGUUGCCUUGAAGCUGAGAUGAGUUGGUCAGCUAGUGAGUGGCUUCAAUCAAGUGACUGUGAGGUGUUGGCUUCAAUCAAGUGACUGUGAGGUGUUGCCUUCAAUCAAGUGACUGUGAGGUGUUGGCUUUGAUCAAGUGACUGUGAGGUGUUGGCUUCGAUCAAGUGACUGUGAGGUGUUGGCUUCGAUCAAGUGACUGUGAGGUGUUGGGCGUGGUAUUGUGUUAUUGCAAGUGUAACCAUUAAUAAGUAAGUUCUUUCCUUAUAACUCUUCAUAUAUGGAUUGCCAUACAUGGACGGAUAAGGCCCUUGUACAGAGUCAGCAGCUGGGGGUGAGAAAAACUGGUGGAGACGUCUCAGAACGCCUAACUUCACAGAAGCUGUUUUAGCUAGAGAUGAAAUGUGAAGUUUCCAGUUUAGAUUAUAAGUAAAGGACAGACCAAGGAUGUUCAGUGUAGAAGAGGGGGACAGUUGAGUGUCAUUGAAGAAGAGGGGAUAGUUUGGAAGACUGUGUUGAGUUGAUAGAUGGAGGAAUUGAGUUUUUGAUGCACUGAACAAUACCAAGUUUGCUCUGCCCCAAUCAGAAAUUUUAGAGAGAUGAGAAGUGAGGCAUUCUGUGGCUUCCCCUGUGUGAACUGUUUACUUCCUGAAGGGUUGGAUGUCUAUGAAAAGACAUGGAAAAGUGCAGGGUGAUGUCAUCAGCGUAGGAGUGGAUAGGACAAGAAGUUUGGGUUAGAAGAUCAUUAAUGAAUAAUAAGAAGAGAGUGGGUGACAGGACAGAACCCUGAGGAACACCACUGUUAAUAGAUUUAGCAGAAGAACAGUGACCGUCUACCACAGCAGCAAUAGAACGGUCAGAAAGGAAACUUGAGAUGAAGUUACAGAGAGAAGGAUAGAAACCAUAGGAGGGUAGUUUGGAAAUCAAAGCUUUGUGCCAGACUCUAUCAAAAGCUUUUGAUAUGUCCAAGGCAACAGCAAAAGUUUCACCAAAAUCUCUAAAAGAGGAUGACCAAGACUCAGUAAGGAAAGCCAGAAGAUCACCAGUAGAGCGGCCUUGACGGAAUCCAUACUGGCGAUCAGAUAGAAGGUUGUGAUGUGGUAGAUGUUUAAGAAUCUUCCUGUUGAUGAUAGAUUAAAAAACUUUAGAUAGGCAGGAAAUUAAAGCAAUAGGACUGUUGUUUGAGGGAUUAAAACUACUACUACUACUACUACUACUACUACUACUACUACUACUACUACUACUACUACUACUACUACUACUACUACUCACAUCUUGCCUGACUCCCCGACCAACAUUUACUGUGUAGAAAUGACACAGUCUGCUCCUUUAGUUCUUUUCCUUUCUUGAAUGUGCAUAUCAGUGUACCCUGUCAUGCCUCCCAUGCUGUGUAAUGCUGCAGUGUUGAUUGUGUGUGUGUUUCCCUCAGGUGGUACUGUGGAUAGCAAGCGGAAGAGACCUUGGGAGACUUCCGUAAAUGAGGAGCAACAAGCACACCUCACUGGAGUCUUUCAGGAACCAACAGUCGGGGCUGAUGUGAAGGUGUCUGCAGCCAGUGUUUGGUGUCCUCUGUGCCUGCCUGGUGGUGCCUCAUUGCAGGGCCUGACGUGAAUGUGUCUGCAGCCAAUGUUUGGUGUCCUCUGUGCCUGGUGGUGCAGCCUGAUGUGUUGCCUGCUUCAGUGUAAAUCUUGCAAGCUAGAUCUGCCAGCUGUCUCCAGUGUAGUAGUCUAGGGUGCUUUGCUUUGUGUCUUUUGGCAAUAAAUAAAUUUGAACUAUUCUCAUGUGAAUUACAUAGUUUGAUAAAAUUACAAAAUGUGGUUGUGUAAACUAAAUUUAUAUUGGUGGUAAACAAUUCAGGCACCCGCAAGUAAAUAAAUAAAUAAAUAGGACCCAAAACAAUACUGAUACAAUUGAUGCCCUCAGGUAAAAAAAAAAAGCCAGGAUUGGCCUAUUUUUGGUUAAGUUUAAG